Molecule: long non-coding RNA, 835 nt
Organism: Nematostella vectensis (starlet sea anemone)
Lineage: Eukaryota; Metazoa; Cnidaria; Anthozoa; Actiniaria; Edwardsiidae
Exons: 2
Source: RefSeq, a predicted model, not a curated record
UGCACUUCGUCAAAGCAUAUUAUCAACCGCCGCGCGUCGUGAUGGCGCAAAGAGGGAAGGAAAACGAGUGAGUAAAAUGGGCCCAUAAUACUCAGGAGAGACCCCGAAAACAGACAAGAAUAAAAUCCUCAUCAAAUCUGUGCUUGAUAUGUUAUUUAAGUCAGUCAAAUUCUAAGACAACCGGUUCGUGCAACCCCAGUAAAACAAGAAGGACAAGAUGACGUGAUCAAUUUUCAGAGAACAGUUGAUAAGAAGUCUAUCUUCAAGGCCAAAAUUCGCCCCUUAGGAGUGAGGUAGUUUAGAGGUAGACCCCGAUAGAUAGUUUACUAAAGGCCUGAUAAAUCGAACUAGCUAAAGUAUUAGAGUAAAGAGUUCUUAGAAUACGAAAUAUUUACAAAAAUGUAAACAAAAAAGACGGCGGGGCAAUGUUUCGACGUCUUAAUUUGCAUCUCAAAACUCACAACCCAAAUCUACUCACCAUUAUUGCAUAAUGUAUUGAAAAACGCACAUGAGCUAGCUUGUGACUCCAACUUUAAUUAUUUAGGUUUCGUUUUACUUGUUUUACAAAUUUAAUAAGGAUAAUUUGAAAUUUUCUUUAAUGCCCAUUUUGACGGAUUUUCCCGCGAAUUUCGCGCGUUUUUUGCCUCUAACUUAUAAAAUCACGCGCAAGUGCUCAUGGACAGGGUGUCAACCCCCCCAGAUGCGUGACUAGUGUUUGCAGCGCGCGUGGUUUAGCAAAAAUCUUUAGCUAGGGUUUUAAAAAACCCUACAGUCUUCGUUUUUUAGUUUCCUUUUGUAAGGAUGGAAAAUAAAUUUACUAGGAAAGGUUUAGAAC